This 229-nucleotide ribosomal RNA is filed under the name uncultured bacterium. Its description in RNAcentral is "partial 16S ribosomal RNA". It matches the Rfam family "Bacterial small subunit ribosomal RNA", at positions 568 to 796 of the family's 1533-position model. The record is from RNAcentral.
UGCGUAGGCGGGUUUGUAAGUCAGUGGUGAAAUCCUGCCGCUUAACGGUAGAAUUGCCAUUGAUACUGCGAAUCUUGAGUAUGGUUGAGGUAGGCGGAAUGUGUAGUGUAGCGGUGAAAUGCAUAGAUAUUACACAGAACUCCGAUUGCGAAGGCAGCUUACUAAGCCAUAACUGACGCUGAGGCACGAAAGCGUGGGGAGCGAACAGGAUUAGAUACCCUGGUAGUCC